Molecule: ribosomal RNA, 250 nt
Filed under: uncultured bacterium
Lineage: Bacteria
Description: partial 16S ribosomal RNA
Rfam family: Bacterial small subunit ribosomal RNA
Source: RNAcentral
UACAGAGGGGCUAGCGUUGUUCGGAAUUACUGGGCGUAAAGCGCACGUAGGCGGCUUUGUAAGUUAGAGGUGAAAGCCCAGGGCUUAACCUGGAAUUGCCUUUAAGACUGCAUCGCUAGAAUUGUGGAGAGGUAAGUGGAAUUCCGAGUGUAGAGGUGAAAUUCGUAGAUAUUCGGAAGAACACCAGUGGCGAAGGCGACUCGCUGGACAAGUAUUGACGCUGAGGUGCGAAAGCGUGGGAGCAAACAGG